CAAUAGCGUAUAUUAAAGCUGUUGCGGUUAAAAAGCUCGUAGUUGGAUUUCUGUCAAGGACAACUGGUCCGCCCUCCGGGUGAGCACAUAGUUUGGUCUUGGCAUCUUGCUGGAAGCUGUUGCUGCGCUUGGUUGUGUGGUGCAGCUUUCAGCACUUUCACUUUGAGGAAAUUGGAGUGUUUCAAGCAGGCACAUGCCUUUGGACACAGUAGCAUGGAAUAAUUAGAUUGGGCUUUUGCUCCAACUUGUUGGUUCCUGGAGCUGAGGUGAGAAUCAAUGGGGAUUGUUGGGGGCAUCCGAAUUUAGCCGUCAGAGGUGAAAUUCUUGGAUCUGCUAAAGACGGACAACUGCGAAAGCGUUUGCCCAGGAUGUUUUCAUUGA
Molecule: ribosomal RNA, 381 nt
Filed under: uncultured eukaryote
Lineage: Eukaryota
Description: partial 18S ribosomal RNA
Rfam family: Eukaryotic small subunit ribosomal RNA
Source: RNAcentral